Molecule: ribosomal RNA, 253 nt
Filed under: uncultured bacterium
Lineage: Bacteria
Description: partial 16S ribosomal RNA
Rfam family: Bacterial small subunit ribosomal RNA
Source: RNAcentral
UACGGAGGGGGCUAGCGUUGUUCGGAAUUAUUGGGCGUAAAGGGCGCGUAGGCGGUUUGACAAGUCUGAUGUGAAAUCUCUGGGCUCAACCCAGAGUCUGCAUUAGAAACUGUCGGGCUUGAGUAUGGGAGAGGUGAGUGGAAUUUCCGGUGUAGCGGUGAAAUGCGUAGAUAUCGGAAGGAACACCUGUGGCGAAAGCGGCUCACUGGACCUAACUGGACGCUGAGGCGCGAAAGCUAGGGGAGCAAACAGG